Molecule: ribosomal RNA, 497 nt
Filed under: uncultured bacterium
Lineage: Bacteria
Description: partial 16S ribosomal RNA
Rfam family: Bacterial small subunit ribosomal RNA
Source: RNAcentral
GAUGAACGCUGGCGGUGUGCCUAAUACAUGCAAGUCGAGCGAAAAGACGAUAAGCUUGUUCCUCUGACGUUAGCGGCGGACGGAUGAGUAACAAGUACAUAACCACCUUAUCAGUCUGGGAUAACUUCGUAAAACCGCAGCUACUAACGGAUAAUACAUCCAACCGCAUAAUUCAAUAGUGCAACACAGCUUUGCUGUCUCUUAUAGAUGAUUCCGCGCCGCAUUAGUUAGUUGGUAAGGUACCGGCUUACCAAGGUGACGAUGCGUAGCUGACCUGAGAGGGUGAUCAGCCACACUGGAACUGAGACACGGUCCAGACUCCUACGGGAGGCAGCAGUAGGGAAUCUUCCGCAAAGGGCGAAAGCCUGACGGAGCAAUGCCGCGUGAGUGAAGAAGGUCUUCGGGUCGUAAAACUCUGUUAUUAGGGAAGAACAAAUGUAUAAUUAACCAUGCACGUCCUGACGGUACCUAAUCAGAAAGCCACGGCUAACUUCGUG